GCUGGGCAUGGUGGCACGUUCCUGUAAUCCCUGUGACUCUGGAGGCUGAGGCAGGAGGAUUGCUAGUUUGAGGUCUCAGUAACUUAGCGAGACCCUCAGCAACUUAGUGAGAACCUGUCUCAA
RNAcentral lists this small RNA (123 nucleotides) under Marmota monax (woodchuck). Lineage: Eukaryota; Metazoa; Chordata; Mammalia; Rodentia; Sciuridae. The record is from RNAcentral.